ACCCUUAGAUGUUCUGGGCCGCACGCGCGCUACACUGACGAAUGCAACGAGCUUAUAACCUUGGCCGAAAGGUCUGGGUAAUCUCCAAAUUUCGUCGUGAUGGGGAUAGAUUAUUGCAAUUAUUAAUCUUCAACGAGUAAUGCCUAGUAAGCGCAAGUCAUCAGCUUGCGUUGAUUACGUCCCUGCCCUUUGUACACACCGCCCGUCGCUCCUACCGAUUGAAUGGUCCGGUGAAGCGUUCGGACCGUGGCCUUUGGACGGUUCGCCGUCUGUUGGCUGCGGGAAGUUCGUUAAACCUUAUCAUUUAGAGGAAGGAGAANUCGUANCA
Molecule: ribosomal RNA, 328 nt
Filed under: uncultured eukaryote
Lineage: Eukaryota
Description: partial 18S ribosomal RNA
Rfam family: Eukaryotic small subunit ribosomal RNA
Source: RNAcentral